GAUGAACGCUAGCGGCAGGCCUAAUACAUGCAAGCUGAACGGCAAGAUUUGUAGCAAUACGAGUCCUAGAGUAGCGUAAGGGUGCGUAACACGUAUGCAAUCUGCCCGCAACAGGAGGAUAGCUUAGCGAAAGUUGAGAUAAGACUCCAUAAGAUCACGAGAGGGCAUCUGAUUGUGAUUAAACUACAAGGGGUUGCGGAUGAGCANGCGUCUGAUUAGUUAGUUGGCGGGGUAACGGCCCACCAAGACGAUGAUCAGUAGGGGAAC
Molecule: ribosomal RNA, 267 nt
Filed under: uncultured bacterium
Lineage: Bacteria
Description: partial 16S ribosomal RNA
Rfam family: Bacterial small subunit ribosomal RNA
Source: RNAcentral